Long non-coding RNA from Panicum virgatum (switchgrass), 2238 nucleotides. RefSeq lists it as uncharacterized. NCBI's taxonomy places the organism in Eukaryota, Viridiplantae, Streptophyta, Magnoliopsida, Poales, Poaceae. The record is from RefSeq and is a predicted model, not a curated record. The transcript is spliced from 3 exons.
UGGGUGAUUUCUGCAACAUCAUUCCACUGGUUGAAAUCAGUCAAACCUAUUUCUUGCUAGUCUACUUAUGACAUGUUCAUCUCCUUUUCAUUAUCCCAGAUGUUGAUUUUGUUCUGCCUACUUUUCUCUAGGGUUUCCUGAUUAAUGUAGUCUACAAUUUUUUGCUAACGCCCAUCUAGAUUAUGGAUGCUCAAAUCAAAUCUUAUGUUACGUUAUGUUUAGAAGUAACUGGCGAUAUUAACUAUGUUUUAUUUGUUCAGCACCUAGCAGUCAACCCUUCAAUUGGUUUUGGGUUCUAACUGGGUUUCAUUGUAUUUGGGUUUAUUUUAUGGAUCUAUUUUGUUCGGUGUGAAUCAGUUUGAAGUUACCAACUGGUCUACAUAGUGUUGCUUUGUACUAAUCAAACUGGAUUGGCUUUGUUCUACGCAUUGACCUAUAAUUUUUCUAAUUUGUAGUUUUCCAAUUAUGGUACACUAAGUUAACCUUCUUGUCGUUGAUCACUUAUUUUUUUUCCCAAUUGUUUGAGCUUAUGCUUUGUUACGUGCAAUUAGCAAGCAGACAAGUAAUUUAGAUACCUUUUCUUAUUCAGAACUAUGUUUCUCUGAAUUUUCUCAGGUGCCAAACAGUACCCAUGGAUAAUGCUUUGAUAUGUUUUAUACUUUUUAUAUCAUUUUAACAGAGUAACUUUUGAUGUUAGCCGUAUAUAGAUUUAUCUGUAUUUUCAAAGGUUAAUCUGUCACUAUUCUUUGCUAAAAUGUAACUUGUCAGUAUUUACAUGAACAAGGAAGUAUCUUUCAAUAUUCACAUGCAAAAGAAAAGUAAUUUGUAAAUGAUUUGAACAUUAUAGGAAGUAACUUCUCAAUUCAAUCUAGAGGGGAGUUCUUUUUGUGGCUAUUCAAAUGACAUGAUAACUAACCUUUCACUAAUGUUUCCUUCUGUUAAUUUUUUUUUGGAAAACUUGAAAAACUUAAAUUCCAGUCACUCACCAAUCUUCUCGUACUGCAGCCACAUCUUUCCAAUUGAUAUUUUAUAUCAUUUUUUUAAAAGUUUGUGCUUGCUCAUGACUAUUUUUUGUAGGUGCAGCUAGCACAUUUCCGUUCAAAAGUCUUUUUUUAGCUCCUCUUUGAUUUUGGUGCAUAUCGUGGAAGAGUUUCUUUAGACUUAGUGGUUGGCGCAUAUUCAUUAGCAAAGCUGGUUUUUAAGAAAGACACUAGAUAUGCACCAUGAACCCAACCCAUAAUUCCGUUGGCACUGCUGAAGAGCAGUCCACCAGCAAAAAUAAAGAUGAUAAGUUGAAGGAAAAGCUCAAGCCAAUUCCUAUCAAGAUGAAGAAAGCAAAUCAAGGCACUUCUGCUGUUGGUGAUGUACUGAUGUAAAAAAAACCAAGAAAAAGCUUCAGGUUUGUUUCUAUCACAUGUUGCCACUAUUUUAGUAGUGAGGUGCAAUGUGAACCUUCUGUCACUAAGAAGUCUGAUCAGAGCCUUUGCAGCAAUGGAAAACAACAGUUGAGCAGUAAAAAUAAAUUAAAGUUGACAAGUUGAAAUACAAUCUGAGGCCCCUGGCCACUAGGAUGAAGAGAGUAAAUGAAGAUGCUUCUUUUAUUUUCAGGAAAUAAUACUUUUUAAGCUGUAUCCUGAUAUGAUUGAUUACCAUCAUUUGUAUGUUAAAUAUACUGAUGUACCCAGCAGUGGCUGGAAGCAAAAUAUGAUGUGCAAACAAAUGUGUAGUGGGUUUUCUAUAUUACUUGGCAAGUUCCAUCAAGAAUUUCACCAGCCAACAACCUGACCAACCAUGAACUGAGUGAUAAUGAAGAAGAUAAGGAAGAAAAUGGUGACAUUAAGAUGACUGAGUAAUGUCUUCAGAUGAAGUAAAAGGAGAAAGGAAACUUUAUCCUCUCUUCAAGGAUUGCUGUGAAGAUUAAAAGGAUUUAGAUGCCCAAGAGACAGAAGUAGCUUUUUUUUUAGGGGAGGGGGAGGGGGACAUGUACAUGUAUGCAGUACUAUUUUCUUGUUACAGAUGCAAAAUUCCUUGCGGAGUUGAUUGCCAGGCUGUUGGUGCGAAAAGACACAUUCACAUAGUUCUAUAAGGUGUUUGUAGGAUAUGCAACACAUCCUCAUAAUGCACUAGUUAAUUUCUCUGAAUUUGAAUCACUUAUGUUGAAUUUUAUAAGAAUUAUUUUGUGUUGUUGAAUAGAAUCUGGACCUGUCUAUCUACAUUGGAUGGAUGCUUCUAUCUCCA